AUUAUUUGCAUUAUUAUUUUCAGGGAAAAUUUUGGAAACACAAUUUGGGACAUUUGGAGGACACCAAAUAAAUUCAAGACUCUCAAAUUUAGACAUUUUAAAUUUUAGUUAUAUUGUAAUUUAAUUGUUAAAACUUUUUGGACAAACUUUUGCACAUUGGGCUAUUGUUAAAAAAUUAUGAUGGGCCCAAAUUGUAGGAUACUUGUCACCCUAGGGUUUCUUUUUAUUUUAGGGUGGACCCCACCCAUUUGGGAGGCAAGGCCUCUUAGUAGAGCUGCAGCCGUAAAUUGAAAAAAAGAGAGGAGGUGCUGGAAGGUUUUAUCGAGAGUGCAUAGGGCUGGAACGUUUUUUAAGGCAAUUUUCUUUGAAAAAUGCUUACUGUGAGGGGCAUUGGAUAAUGAAGGUUUUUCCAGCACAUUUCGUUUACACCACCGAGAGGGAAUCCUUUUUAUUUCUGUUUUGAAGGCACAUGUUCAGCAAGAGGGCUAGUGGUGAUAGAUGCAUUUACUUUUUUUUAUUAAUUGAAGAAAUGAUGAUUGAUUGAAAUGGUGCAGUGAGGUGAUGCAUUCUAGCUUUAGUAUAGUAGGUGCAUUUACUUAUUUCUACAUUGCAUAUUAGUUGAUUCACAUCAUGGAGAAUUGAAAUUGUUUCUUUUUGCUGUACAUGUUUGCCGCCAAGUAGAUUUUCUUUGGAAUCAAAAAAACAUCUCUUUUCUUUUCUUUCGAAGAAACACUUUUUUUUCCUUAACUUAAAGUGAUGUGACGAGAUUAGGUGGGUGAUGGGACUUUGGUAUUAACUCUUUUUUUUCAUAAGCAUCUCUGUUGGAAACAUUUUCACGGUUUGGAUGUUUUUACUUUAAGCACAAUUGGCUUUGAAAUUUCUUUUCUUCAUUGUGCGCANGUUUGAAUUAGGUAAGUAAGUUUUCUUUCAUUUUAAUUUGAGAAUUUGGUCGGGUCCGAUGAUGAGCUAAUUGGAGAUGUGCACAAGGAACAUUUGGUGCUUUACUCGGACAACACAGACUAACAUUUCCUGUUUUUUUUUU
This 1042-nucleotide long non-coding RNA is filed under the name Vigna radiata. RNAcentral's name for it is "long non-coding RNA (VRAD_LNC014519)". The record is from RNAcentral. Lineage: Eukaryota; Viridiplantae; Streptophyta; Magnoliopsida; Fabales; Fabaceae.